This 564-nucleotide long non-coding RNA is filed under the name Salmo salar (Atlantic salmon). RNAcentral's name for it is "lncRNA (ENSSSAG00000114677.1)". The record is from RNAcentral. Lineage: Eukaryota; Metazoa; Chordata; Actinopteri; Salmoniformes; Salmonidae.
GUCUGGUGAGGAUGGUGAUGUGUACUGUAGUCUGGUGAGGGUGAUGGUGAUGUGUACUGUAGUCUGGUGAGGGUGAUGGUGAUGUGUACUGUAGUCUGGUGAGGGUGAUAUGUACUGUAGUCUGGUGAUGAUGUGGAUGUGUACUGAAUACUGGAACAAUAUUUCUAACAUAAGAAUGUGGGGAAUGGUCAGAGGCGAUCUAAAGAACGUGGGGAAUGGUCAGAGGUGAUCUAAAGAACGUGGGGAAUGGUCAGGCGAUCUAAAGAACGUGGGGAAUGGUCAGAGGCGAGCUAAAGAACGUGGGGAAUGGUCAGAGGCGAUCUAAAGAACGUGGGGAAUGGUCAGAGGCGAGCCAAAGAACGUGGGGAAUGGUCAGAGGCGAUCUAAAGAACGUGGGGAAUGGUCAGAGGCGAUCUAAAGAACGUGGGGAAUGGUCAGAGGCGAUCUAAAGAACGUGGGGAAUGGUCAGAGGCGAGCUAAAGAACGUGGGGAAUGGUCAGAGGCGAUCUAAAGAACGUGGGGAAUGGUCAGAGGCGAUCUAAAGGACGUGGGGAAUGGUCAGAG